RNAcentral lists this unclassified non-coding RNA (553 nucleotides) under Limulus polyphemus (Atlantic horseshoe crab). Its description in RNAcentral is "40S ribosomal protein S16, transcript variant X2". The record is from RNAcentral. Lineage: Eukaryota; Metazoa; Arthropoda; Merostomata; Xiphosura; Limulidae.
GAAGCUUUCUUUUCACACGAGAGUUGCAACCAUGAUGGGAACAAUGCAAAAAGAGACUGUUCCGUCUGUACAAGUUUUUGGACGGAAAGUAAAAAACAGCCACAGCUGUGGCAUAUUGUAAACGUGGAACUGGGCUUAUCAAAGUGAAUGGACGACCAUUGGAGACUUUGGAACCUCAGAUUCUUAGGUACAAGCUUCAAGAACCAGUUUUGCUACUUGGGAAGGAAAGGUUUUCUGGGGUAGACAUAAGAGUUCGUGUCAAGGGAGGAGGUCAUAUAGCUCAGAUCUAUGCAAUAAGACAAGCCAUCUCUAAAGCCCUUGUUGCGUAUUAUCAGAAAUAUGUUGAUGAAGCUUCAAAGAAAGAGAUUAAAGACAUUCUGAUCCAGUAUGACAGAACUUUAUUAGUGGCUGAUCCACGUCGUUGUGAGCCAAAGAAGUUCGGUGGACCAGGAGCCAGGGCUCGUUACCAGAAAUCUUACCGAUAAAAUCAAAUGUUUAUUAUCUUAAGGUAUAUUUGUAACUUCAGUCGAGCCUUAAUAAACAUUUGCUAACA